GCCAGCGUGAGCACUGUGAAGCCCCGUGUAGCAUUUGUUGCUUCACAUGGGAAAGUGGAGCACUCCCUGGCUACCUGUUGGACUUCCCAAGACUACACACAGAUCCCAGGCUGGCCUAAGUUUGAGAUAAGCCACUGCAAACAUCCACCUAAACUGUAUCAACUGCACCCACAGGCGAUCGUGGCUCAAGAGUUGGGAGUUCGCCUUGUAAUCGGAAGGUUGCCGGUUCGAGCCCCGGCUUGGACAGUCUCGGUCGUUGUGUCCUUGGGCAAGACACUUCACCCAUUUCCUAGUGGUGGUGGUCAGAGGGCCCGGUGGCGCCAGUGUCCAGCAGCCUCGCCUCUGUCAGUGUGCUUCAGGGUGGCUUGGCUACAGCGUAGCUUGCCAUCACCUGUAUGUGAAUGGGUGAAUGACUGGAUAUGUAAAGCGCUUUGGGGUCUGUCAGGAAUAGAAAUAUUGUCCUGCUAUUAGUUGCUGCUAUUUUUAUAAUCAUCAUUAACAUUUCAGUAUUAAUAGUGAUGUUGCAUUUAGAUGCAUUCAGAUGUUCAAAUAUAUGGUUAUAGCCUUUAUUACAGGUCCAAAGAAGAACCAUUUUAAAUGGUUGAGUUGAAUCUAUAAUUUAAAUGUUAUUAAUGCUUUUAUGAUCUCUGUGUAGAGGGCAGAGACAGGAAAAUACACUUUGUGCCAAAAUGAGACAGGAAGUUAUGUCUUUGAAGUUGCAGCUUUUGCAGAAGUGAAACCGAAAGCAGAGUGAGCGUAAGCUGAAAGAGUAGGGUGUUUAUUCAGUAGAUUACAUAUAUAGUUCCAGUUAGGUUAUUAUAUGUAAAGGGGAGCCUCUGGUCACGUGAAGGUCAGAAGUGUAACGGGUGAGAUGUGAGAGCAUUUAAGGGCGAGACAUAUACAUACAGACACCAAUAGUGAGAGGUCAUGACACGUACGCAGUACACAGCAUGCACGCGCCCUCGCACGUGUACGCGCAGAGACAUACACACACACUGUUAGGGUGUAGGUGAGAGUUGACUGAUGAAGCAGUAGAUGCACGAUGCGAGAGCGGAGCUGGCUUACGGGAAACCACCGGAAAGAAGAUGGAAGCCAGUGCACUUUUAAUUGUGCCUUAAGUUGUCAAAUAGAACAUUUGUGGUUUUGAAGCUGAUGUAUGUGAUGACGCAAUGAGGGGGCGUCACUAAAUAUACUCUGAUGCAUAUAAAACUGUAUUUUGAUGUUAGGAGGAUGAGAUUGUGGGGCUGUCUGCUUACGGAGUCCGCUCAUUCUCCCACGCGUGUCAUUUCAUUAAAAUCAUCGUCUUUACCCUUUGGACCAGUGUGGUUACUUGCAUUCCUCCUGUGUUUCCUUCUCUAUAUUUUUGAACCUUAACAUUUGGGGGCUUCGUCCGAGGGGGGAAGUGAGACAGGAUGGAGAAAGGGACUAGUAAAAGCGAGUAGUAAUAUACCUGCAGCUUUUAGAAGUUACAAUUCUUUUCUGUAAAAAAGCAUUU
This 1495-nucleotide long non-coding RNA is filed under the name Oreochromis niloticus (Nile tilapia). RNAcentral's name for it is "lncRNA (ENSONIG00000038635.1)". The record is from RNAcentral. Lineage: Eukaryota; Metazoa; Chordata; Actinopteri; Cichliformes; Cichlidae.